CCUACGGGAGGCAGCAGUGAGGAAUAUUGGUCAAUGGACGAGAGUCUGAACCAGCCAAGUAGCGUGAAGGAUGACUGCCCUAUGGGUUGUAAACUUCUUUUAUAUGGGAAUAAAAUGUUCCACGUGUGAGAUUUUGUAUGUACCAUAUGAAUAAGGAUCGGCUAACUCCGUGCCAGCAGCCGCGGUAAUACGGAGGAUCCGAGCGUUAUCCGGAUUUAUUGGGUUUAAAGGGAGCGUAGGUGGAUUGUUAAGUCAGUUGUGAAAGUUUGCGGCUCAACCGUAAAAUUGCAGUUGAAACUGGCAGUCUUGAGUACAGUAGAGGUGGGCGGAAUUCGUGGUGUGGCGGUGAAAGGCUUAGAUAUCACGAAGAACUCCGAUUGCGAAGGCAGCUCACUGGACUGCAACUGACACUGAGGCUCGAAAGUGUGGGUAUCAAACAGGAUUAGAUACCCGUGUAGUC
RNAcentral lists this ribosomal RNA (460 nucleotides) under uncultured bacterium. RNAcentral's name for it is "partial 16S ribosomal RNA". It matches the Rfam family "Bacterial small subunit ribosomal RNA", at positions 338 to 795 of the family's 1533-position model. The record is from RNAcentral.